RNAcentral lists this ribosomal RNA (441 nucleotides) under uncultured bacterium. RNAcentral describes it as "partial 16S ribosomal RNA". It matches the Rfam family "Bacterial small subunit ribosomal RNA", at positions 339 to 795 of the family's 1533-position model. The record is from RNAcentral.
CUACGGGACGCUGCAGUGGGGAAUAUUGCACAAUGGGCGCAAGCCUGAUGCAGCAACGCCGCGUGAACGAAGAAGGCUUUCGGGUCGUAAAGUUCUUUUCUUGGGGAAGAAAAAAUGACGGUACCCAAGGAAUAAGCACCGGCUAACUCCGUGCCAGCAGCCGCGGUAAUACGGAGGGUGCAAGCGUUAAUCGGAAUUACUGGGCGUAAAGGGCGCGUAGGCGGCCCUGUUAGUCAGAUGUGAAAGCCCCCGGCUCAGCCGGGGAAGUGCAUCUGAAACUGCAGGGCUUGAAUAUGGGAGAGGAAAGUGGAAUUCCCGGUGUAGAGGUGAAAUUCGUAGAUAUCGGGAGGAACACCAGUGGCGAAGGCGACUUUCUGGACCAAUAUUGACGCCGAGGCGCGAAAGCGUGGGGAGCAAACAGGAUUAGAUACCCGGGUAGUC